CCUACGGGGGGCAGCAGUGAGGAAUAUUGGACAAUGGAGGCAACUCUGAUCCAGCCAUGCCGCGUGCAGGAAGACUGCCCUAUGGGUUGUAAACUGCUUUUAUACAGGAAGAAACCUUUCCACGUGUGGAGAGCUGACGGUACUGUAAGAAUAAGGAUCGGCUAACUCCGUGCCAGCAGCCGCGGUAAUACGGAGGAUCCAAGCGUUAUCCGGAAUCAUUGGGUUUAAAGGGUCCGUAGGUGGAUAAUUAAGUCAGAGGUGAAAUCCUGCAGCUCAACUGUAGAAUUGCCUUUGAUACUGGUUAUCUUGAAUUAUUGUGAAGUAGUUAGAAUAUGUAGUGUAGCGGUGAAAUGCAUAGAUAUUACAUAGAAUACCAAUUGCGAAGGCAGAUUACUAACAAUAUAUUGACACUGAUGGACGAAAGCGUGGGGAGCGAACAGGAUUAGAUACCCCCGUAGUC
This 460-nucleotide ribosomal RNA is filed under the name uncultured bacterium. Its description in RNAcentral is "bacterial SSU rRNA". It matches the Rfam family "Bacterial small subunit ribosomal RNA", at positions 338 to 795 of the family's 1533-position model. The record is from RNAcentral.